GCGUUUACUUCCCAUGUGCGUGCAACUGCAACUGACGCUGAGAGAUACACCUGCUUUUUAUUAGAGCCGUAAUCCAACUCCAGUCGCUCUUGAGGAAGCAGAGAAGAGAUAGAGGUGAAGGGGCCUCGUGCCCAGUGAGGAGCCCUGGCAGCGCUGCAGAACGGGAUAUUUAGGCUGUUAGAGCACCAGGAAGCUCUGAGUCCCAUUUUGGGUGGUGGUGAAGAUACAGCAGGUCCACAUCAACAUGAGACACAGGCAGCCUCUGUGACGGCCAGCUGCGCGUCUGGAAUACAAGUCAUCUAAUUACGUGGAAAAGAUGGCCACCGACCGCCAGCAAACAAACAGAGUCCCUCUCACCUGUCGCCUGACCUACUUUACCAUGGAAAACACUGCUGGGCUGCUGUAAAGUAUGUUAUUUUAUGGGCCGAAGCGGGUUUAUUUUAGUUAUACAAUUAGGGGACUUAAGGGACACGGCAUCGUAAAUCAGACUUUACCGUAGAUAUGUACUGGCUCAUUGGCCCAUUUUACCUUAGUCCAACUUAAUUGAAUAUGUUAACUUGAAGCUUAAAGAAAAGAUCGAAGAUGAAGAUAUUUAUCUAUGAAGAUAUUUAGCUGUAAAUUGAAUUCAUUUUUGUGGGUAUAUCUCAAAAGCUCUGUGAAAAAAAACAUAUUCCCCUGAAAGAAAGAAAGAAAGAAA
This 697-nucleotide small RNA is filed under the name Danio rerio (zebrafish). Its description in RNAcentral is "si:ch211-213i16.4-002". Lineage: Eukaryota; Metazoa; Chordata; Actinopteri; Cypriniformes; Danionidae. The record is from RNAcentral.